GGGUGUGUGCUUUACUGCAUGAUAUCCGGACGAAUAAUUAUACGAAUUCAUGUUUAAUUAUUAAAAUUCUUAAUAAAGUCGUGAACAAAAGGAGCCUGUUGUUCAAUAUAAAGUCAAACCGUGUGUGCUUGACCCACUGAUCUGAAGCAUGUAGCAGCGGGUGACCCCCGCUCAGGAGUGGACUCGUCCGCGGAGCGCCGUUCUGCUCGCUUCAGGCAAACUGCGGUUUCUGGAAAUCAGCGGAUUUUCUAGAUUUGAAGAAAUGUGAUAAAUCAGCGGAUCGUGUCGUCAUGAGCGACCGACAAGCGACGCCUCACAGCGGGCAGUGCAGACCGAGAAUGAGCAGUGUACAGAUGGAGGAUCGCAACAUGUUGCGUCUGAUGGAGAGGGAGAGACGCAGUCAGGAGGUGCAGCUGGAGGAGACGCAGUAUGACAGAAUCGCUCCUCUCUUCAACAAGCCGUAUAAGAGAAUCAAAGAUGACGAGCUGUCGAGUCGCAUCCAGACGAUGCUGGGUAAUUAUGAGGAUGGAUAUGAUGGACCUGAGGACGCUGCGCUUCCUUACGAGCGCUCCACGCAGUUCCCUCAGGCGCAGUCAGGACACACGGAUCGCUCCAGAGCCGCCUCCGGCCCUGCUUCAGGAGAGAGCUGGGACAGUUUCCCAGCCCUGUCUCCUCUGCGGUCCAGCGACUCGGACACCGGCCCGUCUCCGGAGCGGCCUCCGCUGAACCUGCACAGUAAACUGGCGAAGGCCAAGAAACCCACAGCGUACGUGAGGCCGAUGGACGGUCCGGAUCAGGUGACCAGCGACUCUCCUGAACUGAAGGCCUCACUGGAGUCGUAUGAGCACUUACAGGACCUGAAGGAGAGCAGCAAACCAAACCUUGCCCCUCUGCAGGCUGCUGAUAUAGUGUCUGGAGCGCGUGUGGAGGACAUUCUGCAGGAAAUGACCUCAUGGCCUCCACUGCUGACGACCAUUUGCUCGCCAACCACAGCCGAGCCGCCCAAGGUCCUCUCCACUAACGAGGAGACACAUGGAUUACCGGCCCUCGAAGCUCAUGAAUCAUCAGACAAAGUUCAGCUGGAAUCUCAGUGAGUAUCAGAUCAGAUCUUUGUCUUGAGCUCAUGUGAAGGUGCUACAAAAAGGUCAAGAUGAAGAUUUCUCCCCUCUCUCUUCAGCUACUGUUUUAACUUUACUCUGUGUGUGUGUGUGUGUGUGUGUGUGUGUGUGUGUGCGCGCGCGCGCGUGCACCUGUGUGUGUGUGCACCUGUGUGUGUGUGCACCUGUGUGUGUGUG
Molecule: long non-coding RNA, 1295 nt
Filed under: Sinocyclocheilus anshuiensis
Lineage: Eukaryota; Metazoa; Chordata; Actinopteri; Cypriniformes; Cyprinidae
Description: lncRNA (ENSSANG00000041122.1)
Source: RNAcentral